This 293-nucleotide ribosomal RNA is filed under the name uncultured bacterium. Its description in RNAcentral is "partial 16S ribosomal RNA". It matches the Rfam family "Bacterial small subunit ribosomal RNA", at positions 28 to 321 of the family's 1533-position model. The record is from RNAcentral.
GACGAACGUUGGCGGCGUGCCUAAUACAUGCAAGUCAACUGAAAUACCGGUAGCAAUACUGGUAUGGAGGUGGCGCACGGGUGAGUAACACGUAGGUAAUCUGCCUUCAGGUCUGACAUAACCCAUCGAAAGGUGAGCUAAUAUCAGAUGAUGCAGCGGCUUGACAUCAAGACAGUUGUUAAAGCUUCGGCGCCUGAAGAUGAGCCNGCGUCUGAUUAGCUAGUUGGCGGGUAACGCCCACAAGGCUGCGAUCAGUAGCUGGUCUGAGAGGAUGAUCAGUCACACUGGAACUG